Nycticebus coucang (slow loris) is the source of this 361-nucleotide long non-coding RNA. RefSeq lists it as uncharacterized. The record is from RefSeq and is a predicted model, not a curated record. The transcript has 3 exons. NCBI's taxonomy places the organism in Eukaryota, Metazoa, Chordata, Mammalia, Primates, Lorisidae.
CGCAGGGCACACGCGAGCCCAGCUGCCUGCAGCAGCGUCACCUUCCCCUCCUUGGGGUCCCAAAUCACAGCCUCCGUGGCCCGGAAGGUUGUUUCUCUAUGAAAUGGACAUGGGAUUCUGAGCAUGGAAAUGAGACAGAAACGUGGCCCUCGCAUCAGCUCAUCGACCGUGGCUGACCUAAAUGCCUCUUUAUCUGGUUAUAUCCAUUGCCUCCUGCAAAUAAUACGGAAAAAUACAGAGAGUAAUAAACUGAACACCCAUGUGGGUACAGGACCUGGACGCAGUGAAGCUGAGCUGACACCAAGCAAAAGGAGCUCAUCGUUUGCACUGUGUUCUAUGCUUGGCUAUCCUAGAGGUCGAU